Molecule: ribosomal RNA, 697 nt
Filed under: Enterobacteriaceae bacterium
Lineage: Bacteria; Pseudomonadati; Pseudomonadota; Gammaproteobacteria; Enterobacterales; Enterobacteriaceae
Description: bacterial SSU rRNA
Rfam family: Bacterial small subunit ribosomal RNA
Source: RNAcentral
CGAACGGUAACAGGAAGCAGCUUGCUGCUUUGCUGACGAGUGGCGGACGGGUGAGUAGUGUCUGGGAAACUGCCUGAUGGAGGGGGAUAACUACUGGAAACGGUAUCUAAUACCGCAUAACGUCGCAAGACCAAAGAGGGGGACCUUCGGGCCUCUUGCCAUCGGAUGUGCCCAGAUGGGAUUAGCUAGUAGGUGGGGUAACGGCUCACCUAGGCGACGAUCCCUAGCUGGUCUGAGAGGAUGACCAGCCACACUGGAACUGAGACACGGUCCAGACUCCUACGGGAGGCAGCAGUGGGGAAUAUUGCACAAUGGGCGCAAGCCUGAUGCAGCCAUGCCGCGUGUAUGAAGAAGGCCUUCGGGUUGUAAAGUACUUUCAGCGGGGAGGAAGGCGAUAAGGUUAAUAACCUUGUCGAUUGACGUUACCCGCAGAAGAAGCACCGGCUAACUCCGUGCCAGCAGCCGCGGUAAUACGGAGGGUGCAAGCGUUAAUCGGAAUUACUGGGCGUAAAGCGCACGCAGGCGGUCUGUCAAGUCAGAUGUGAAAUCCCCGGGCUCAACCUGGGAACUGCAUUCGAAACUGGCAGGCUAGAGUCUUGUAGAGGGGGGUAGAAUUCCAGGUGUAGCGGUGAAAUGCGUAGAGAUCUGGAGGAAUACCGGUGGCGAAGGCGGCCCCCUGGACAAAGACUGACGCUCA